RNAcentral lists this ribosomal RNA (253 nucleotides) under uncultured bacterium. RNAcentral describes it as "partial 16S ribosomal RNA". It matches the Rfam family "Bacterial small subunit ribosomal RNA", at positions 524 to 776 of the family's 1533-position model. The record is from RNAcentral.
UACGUAGGGGGCAAGCGUUGUCCGGAUUUACUGGGCGUAAAGAGCGCGCAGGCGGUCGAUCAAGUCGAGUGUGAAAGCCCCCGGCUCAACUGGGGAGGGUCAUUCGAAACUGGCAGGCUAGAGUACUAAAGAGGGUCGCGGAAUUCCCGGUGUAGAGGUGAAAUUCGUAGAUAUUGGGAAGAACACCGGUGGCGAAGGCGGCGACCUGGUCCGUGACUGACGCUGAGGCGCGAAAGCGUGGGGAGCAAACAGG